RNAcentral lists this small nuclear RNA (23 nucleotides) under Arabidopsis thaliana (thale cress). RNAcentral describes it as "snRNA_11549". The record is from RNAcentral. Lineage: Eukaryota; Viridiplantae; Streptophyta; Magnoliopsida; Brassicales; Brassicaceae.
AGAGUUAAAUAAAGAUAGGACAU